This 748-nucleotide long non-coding RNA is filed under the name Vigna radiata. RNAcentral's name for it is "long non-coding RNA (VRAD_LNC013641)". The record is from RNAcentral. Lineage: Eukaryota; Viridiplantae; Streptophyta; Magnoliopsida; Fabales; Fabaceae.
GAGAGACUUUGCACGGUGAUUUAAUUCAGAUUGGAUGCCACGGGUUGCUUCUCUUGGAGAAUGAGUGGUUGCAUACGUUACUGCCACGUUUUGUAGAAGUUAGAUGACUUUGAUUUUGGAGCAUUGAAUUGGCUGCAACAAUUUCACGGCAAANGUUUAUUCUUUGGGCCAUUUCAAUUUUAAUUUCAUUAGGUGAAAGUACUUGGGCACGUGAGAAAAAAAAUACAUGUUUGUUUCUUUAGCUUUUUAAUUAGUUUGCAUAUUAGGAUUAGUUGUUUUUAAUUUCUUUAAUUUAGUUUUGCAUUUAAUUUAAUUUAACUGUGUUUAGAUAUUUGUUUAGUCUAUUUGGUUUAGCAUUUUCACUCUCAGGACUCGAUUUUAAAAAAAUAACUGCAACCAGACCAGAGCUCCAAAUGCUACGUUUUAUAUAUCAAAUGAAAGAUAAUUGAGUCUACUUUCCAGGAAAAAAAACCUCAUCUCAUUUAGAGCUCUGUAGAAAAAGUUAUGGUUAAAACAUUGAGCAAAGGUCAGAGUUGCCUAGUUCCAGCGUGAAUUUUCGUUUUUACUGUUUUAAUUUCAUUUUAAUUUUUCCGCAUUCACCACGCAAACCUUUCACAACCCCCUCCUUCAUGUUUGACUUGAUUCUGAACCGCAGUUGGUCCUUGAGAGACGACCUAGGGGUCACUCCCUAGCUAUACUGCAUUUCUUAUUAUGCAAUCAAAUUUGAUUGGGCGGCGACACCCAUCAA